This 486-nucleotide ribosomal RNA is filed under the name uncultured bacterium. Its description in RNAcentral is "partial 16S ribosomal RNA". It matches the Rfam family "Bacterial small subunit ribosomal RNA", at positions 28 to 507 of the family's 1533-position model. The record is from RNAcentral.
GACGAACGCUGGCGGCGUGCUUAACACAUGCAAGUCGAACGGAAAGGCCCUGCUUUUGUGGGGUGCUCGAGUGGCGAACGGGUGAGGAAUACAUCGGAAUCUACUUUUUCGUGGGGGAUAACGUAGGGAAACUUACGCUAAUACCGCAUACGACCUACGGGUGAAAGCAGGGGAUCUUCGGACCUUGCGCGAUUGAAUGAGCCGAUGUCGGAUUAGCUAGUUGGCGGGGUAAAGGCCCACCAAGGCGACGAUCCGUAGCUGGUCUGAGAGGAUGAUCAGCCACACUGGAACUGAGACACGGUCCAGACUCCUACGGGAGGCAGCAGUGGGGAAUAUUGGACAAUGGGCGCAAGCCUGAUCCAGCCAUACCGCGUGGGUGAAGAAGGCCUUCGGGUUGUAAAGCCCUUUUGUUGGGAAAGAAAAGCAGCAGGUUAAUACCCCGCUGUUCUGACGGUACCCAAAGAAUAAGCACCGGCUAACUUCGUG